UACAGAGGUCUCAAGCGUUGUUCGGAAUCACUGGGCGUAAAGGGUGCGUAGGUGGCGUGGUAAGUCAGAUGUGAAAGCCCGGGGCUCAACCUCGGAAUUGCAUCCGAUACUGCCGUGCUAGAGUACUGAAGAGGUGACUAGAAUUCUCGGUGUAGCAGUGAAAUGCGUAGAUAUCGAGAGGAAUACCAACGGCGAAGGCAGGUCACUGGGCAGUUACUGACACUGAGGCACGAAGGCCAGGGGAGCAAAUGGG
Molecule: ribosomal RNA, 253 nt
Filed under: uncultured bacterium
Lineage: Bacteria
Description: partial 16S ribosomal RNA
Rfam family: Bacterial small subunit ribosomal RNA
Source: RNAcentral